Molecule: ribosomal RNA, 253 nt
Filed under: uncultured bacterium
Lineage: Bacteria
Description: partial 16S ribosomal RNA
Rfam family: Bacterial small subunit ribosomal RNA
Source: RNAcentral
UACGGGGGGGGCAAGCGUUGUUCGGAAUUACUGGGCGUAAAGCGCACGUAGGCGGCAUUGUAAGUGUCUGGUGAAAUCCCACGGCUCACCCGUGGAACUGCCAGGCAUACUGUGAUGCUCGAGUGUGGUAGGGGAGAGCGGAACUCCUGGUGGAGCGGUGAAAUGCGUAGAUAUCAGGAGGAACACCGGUGGCGAAGGCGGCUCUCUGGUCCACAACUGACGCUGAGGUGCGAAAGCUAGGGGAGCAAACGGG